Molecule: ribosomal RNA, 323 nt
Filed under: uncultured bacterium
Lineage: Bacteria
Description: bacterial SSU rRNA
Rfam family: Bacterial small subunit ribosomal RNA
Source: RNAcentral
GAUGAACGCUGGCGGCGUGCUUAACACAUGCAAGUCGAACGAGAAUCAACGGAUUGAGGAUUCGUCCAAAUGAAGUUGAGGAAAGUGGCGGACGGGUGAGUAACGCGUGAGGAACCUGCCUCGGAGUGGGGAAUAACAGUUGGAAACAGCUGCUAAUACCGCAUAAUGCAACGGAAUCGCAUGACUCUGUUGCCAAAGAUUUAUCGCUCUGAGAUGGCCUCGCGUCUGAUUAGCUAGUUGGUGAGGUAACGGCCCACCAAGGCGACGAUCGGUAGCCGGACUGAGAGGUUGAACGGCCACAUUGGGACUGAGACACGGCCCAG